GGUCUGUUACAUCUAGUAAAGCGUUCUAACCCGAUUGUCCCUCUAGAGGGAGACAUAGUCCAGCUUUUAUACGAAUUGCCUCCGCAUCUUUUACUGUCUCGUUCUUUUUCUGCAGGACCGUUGUUUGCUCUCAGCGGCAGUUGCUGGGGCUCACAGAACUGGCUGUUGGGAGAGAGAAGGGAGGCAACGUCGCUUGGUCCUCCCAUCCCAUUUUACUGCUUAACUCAACCUGGAGUCUCAGGACCUAUUCUCCUCCUGCAUUCUCUCUGCACUAUACGGGGGAGCCAAGUCACUCUGUAUUCCCUGGACAGCCGGGCUGGCUGGAAUAGGGUUCUAGAGUGGAGGGGGCUCUGCCCUUUAUGGCGACUUUCUAAAAGAUUAGCAUCAGUGUCUUUUGACAGUACAGCGCCUGGGGUGGGACUCGAAGAGGAGGCUUUGCUUGCUAAACGGCUUCUUUCUCCUCUGGAAAUCUGGAUUUUUUUCCUCGGCCUCCUCCCCCCGCUCCUUUCUUUCUCCCCUACCGCCUUUAGCGAAGUGACACAGGCGAUACCUGCUCGCUCGUGUUGGAUGUGGCAACUCGCACUUUCUCGUUGGUGACGGUGCCAGGGCACUGCUGCCAGGGGGACAUCGGCGGGUUUCCCUUCCUUCCAGCCCACGAUGCCUAGAAGGGCAGCGGGUGGGCUGCGCGGGGCUCUGCCCUCAGCACUUCGAGGCGGGAUUGAGGGGCUGAAGCUGGCCAGGAGUUGCUGCUAAGUGGACUCCAGUGGAAGGAGCAAAGUCUCCGCGAGGGCACCAGCGGGGACCUAUUUGCGAGCAGUGGGCACAGGGGCACCUGCACCGAGGAACGCGAGCGUCUGGCGGGGGGACUUUGGCCGAGCUCAGAGCCUCUCCUUCCUGUCCCGAGCCUCCCAGCAACUCCGCCACGCUGGAGCCCCGGUACCUGCGAGAACCGGGGAACUCGAGAAGUGCGUGGCCGAGGCUGCUUUCCUGAAGGUGAAUCAUUCCGUCCAAUUGCCUUUCCCUAGAGAACAAGAGGGAGGGCAAGAGAGAGGGAACAGAGGAUGUGUGAGUGUGUGUGUGUGUGAGAGGGAGAGACGACGUGAGGGGAGAGGAAAAGUCUUUACUAGGCGUUAAAAGCAAACAAAUCAGAGAUGGAACAAGAGCGGUAAUUGCUACAAGACCGCCUUGAUUCUUGCAGUCCAGGGAGCUGAGCGCACAGCGCGCAUCCGGCGAGGACAGCGGGCGACCGCGGGCGCUGCCAAGGGCUGCGGGACGUUGGCUUUUCCUCAGUAAAGAAAUCUUUUGAUUACUUUGAUACUGUGGAAUAAAGAAGGGGGGAGAAGGAUCAGGCUCACCUUCACCCGCUUUAGGGGGAUUCCAGUUCGGAUGUCAAGAGAUUCCUGAGUCCUACUUGCCAUCGGAGGAGGAAACACAUCCAUACACGCGCGCGCACACUUGCACGCUCAGGGCCACACUCACUCAUACGCCGCCGUCCACGAGCACACAGCACCAGACUUCGGUUCCCUAUGCCCCUGGAUGGUGACGGCGGAUUGGCAUCUUGGAAGCGAUGCGAGAGCGAUAAGGCUGGCGCUGGCCCGCAAAACCUGCAGGAGCAUCGCUAGGUGUUGCCGCCACGGGGAAGCGGGGCUGCAGGAUGAGUAAGAGAUACUUACAGAAAGCAACAAAAGGAAAACUGCUAAUAAUAAUAUUUAUUGUAACCUUGUGGGGGAAAGUUGUAUCCAGUGCAAACCAUCAUAAAGAUGAUUCAAGAAUUUUUAAAAAUAAAAUCUCAAAGCAGAUCCAGUCUACUAUGAGGAGAUUAAAAUAUAGAUUUCCUGGUGUUGCUCACCAUGUUAAAACGGGAACUUGUGAGGUGGUGGCACUCCACAGAUGCUGUAACAAGAACAAGAUAGAAGAGCGGUCACAAACAGUCAAGUGCUCCUGCUUCCCCGGGCAGGUGGCAGGCACCACACGAGCUGCUCCAUCAUGUGUGGAUGCUUCAAUAGUGGAACAGAAAUGGUGGUGCCACAUGCAACCAUGUCUAGAGGGAGAGGAAUGUAAAGUUCUUCCAGAUCGGAAAGGAUGGAGCUGUUCCUCUGGGAAUAAAGUCAAAACAACUAGGGCAAACGUGUAAAACUCUUCAAGUUCGAAUGGAGAAGUAGAAAGAGAAGGUUUCUGCUGUGCCUGAUGACAAUUUUUGAUUUCUCCACACUCAAAAAAAUUUUGGCUCCACCUUGGAGCACUAGUUGUGGCAAAUCCUAGUGUUGGUCGGAUUCUAAGGAAGGGACAGAAGUUUCAUUGAGAAGUAAAGAUUCCAAACAACUCCAGAAAUGAGCUCCCGUCUUGGUUUAUUUCUCACAGAGCAGCAGGUAACCCAUUAACCCAGGAGAAACCAAGUGAUCCUCAAGGCCGAUGACAAUGAACAUAUGCAUAGAAGCUUCACUCCUGAGGUGAUCUUGAAGAUUUUUAUACCACUUGAAAGAGGCACUGAAGAGUCGAUUUCCAAGGGAUUUCAUGGCCUCUUCUUGAAAUCAAGACUUUUUAAAAGUCAGACAUGAACUUCUAUGUCAUGAAGAUUUCAGCAGAUUUGAACUGUGUUCAGCCUGUAAAUUGUUAAAAGAAUUUGAAGUUGCUGUCUGUGGAGCCAGUGAAGAGUUGUUUUUUCAGGGUGAUGUUGGAGACAGUCACCUUUUGAGCUAUCGGCUCCAGAUGUGACUGCUUUUCUUGCUUCUGCAAGCUGUAUCCCAAGGGCACUGUCCUUCUGUCCUGGAUGUGUUCCUGGGUCCUAUGUUCAUUGGCUAGUGGGACUAUACAUGGCUUUAAUGACGUUUCCUUUGAGAACUUUUCCUCUGGCAUGGUGUAGACUGAGACAAUUUUAUUUAUAUCUGAAUCUUGGAGCUCGGAAAGCCUACAUGUUUUAACAACUUAAAGUUGCUUUUGUUAAAGGAAUGGAAAUAUAUAUCCAUUGGUAAUAAUGUUGGCAAGUAAUAGUUAUCUGAAUACAUCAAUCAUAUAAGAAUGUAUAGACAAGCUGACAUAUUUCCCUAAGGCUAACAACACUCUGCUGCAGCUCUUUGUCAAAUAGUUAGUAGUUAGAACUGGAUUACCAUUUUCAUUAUAUAAUACUUUGUACCUCUAGAGCACUCUCCCUUUCUGCUUUCUUUUUUUUUAAGUGGGCUUUUCUUUAAUUUUUUUUUUAUGUUUACUUUUAUUCCCUUCACAGAAAUCAGCAGUGAGCAGUCAAGUUACUGGAUAGACGUCAGUUUCAAAAAGUUGCCAGGGAUGCAUGUGAGUUUCUGAUUUCUUAGCUUGAACAUUAUUCACUUAGAUUUUUUCUAGUUUUUUUUUUUUUUUUAAGCUGCCCUAUCUCAUUUUAAAAGAUUGUCUUUUGCUUGCUCCCAAUGACUGUUUGAAUGCUUACAUAUUUGUUCAAUCUGUUGAUAGAAAAAAUUGUUCAUUUUCCUCAGCCUCAAAUGUGUUAAUAUUUGCUUACACUUUUCCCAUUUGAACAACUUGUUAGGCCAGUAUUUUGUGACAUUUUUGUAGCCAUUUGAACAUUUCUGUUUUUGGUUUUACAGGGAAGUCAUAAAUAUUUAAAGGCCUUAAACAUGUAUGUAGUUUUUUUUAAGUUAUUGUAGAAUGUAUAAUUUUAUACUACAUUUAUUUUGUUUCAUUUGUGAUAUGAAAGGAGAGAAGAAUGAAAAUUGUGUAGCCAUUCUGUAACAAUAUUGUAUAAACCUGUAGUUUGAAGGAAUGCAAGUGAGGGAUUUCUGUGUUUUACUCAUUUUAGACUAUCCAGAAGAUGCUUCUGAAAUUGUCCUAUUAGAAUUUCCAUCAUGUUACAGAAGGUAUGGGAAUAUCUUGUAUUCUGAAAACUCACUGACAUGGUCAAUUACACAUACAUUGGUUUCCAGCCUGGAGGCCCACAUGUACUGGGGAACAUUGGUCUAUUAUUUCUUGACAAUAUUCAAAGACCAAUACACUACUCAGACACUUUCCUGGGAAGAACAACUAAAAAUGUAAAACUGGUUAAAAAUAAGAUCUGAAAAGUUUACGUCUCACAUUGAACUAAAAACCACUUGUCUCCUAAGUUCAUGAAAUGAAAUGACAUUCUGCCUCCAUUUUAAUUAUGCAUAAAAUGAAUUAGAUGGUUUUGAGUGGAUUUUCACAAUGGCUCAAGACUAUAUGAAAUUUUAAAAAAGGAAUAAUGGUUGUCCUGGAGUUUCUGCAUCAAUUAGAAUAUAAUUAAUUUCUUUGUAACCAAGUGAAAAACUAUACCUUUUGGAAAAUAUGAAUUUGUCCUAGGUUUGUUUGAGAUUAUAGAUCAUGCUUCUCAUUUUUUAAACUAUGUUCUUUAACAACUGGAAACUCUGUAUUAUAUACAAGUGUAAUACAUGCAUACAAUAGAAAAAAAUACAUGGAAUUUCAAAUAUACUAACUAGAUUAUCCCCAGUAGAUUAAUGUUGUGACUACUCAGAAAAGGUGAAUAAAAUUGGGAUAUAAAAUGGGCUCUCUUUCAUAAAUUACGUUUAGAGAUCUGCUUUCUGUGUUUUAUUUUAAAAGCACUUCAGUUAUUAUCCAGGAACACUUCUGAAUUCCUGGGGAAGAUGACAUAAAUUCUUUUUUUUUUUUUAAAUAAAGAUUCAUGGCAAAUUUUGCCAUUUACACAAGA
Molecule: RNA transcript, 4672 nt
Organism: Cebus imitator (Panamanian white-faced capuchin)
Lineage: Eukaryota; Metazoa; Chordata; Mammalia; Primates; Cebidae
Gene: TAFA2
Gene name: TAFA chemokine like family member 2
Exons: 7
Source: RefSeq, a predicted model, not a curated record